UUAUGAACACUGGGGCAGCAAAUAGGGAGUAGCUCUAUUAAAUAUGACAUUUGCACUGUUGCAAAUUGAGGUAAUUUCAGGUUUGUGGCUAUUUUUUCGAUGGUUUCAGCAUAUUAGAAAUUAAUCCACCCCCACACCCCCAAACUUUAUUUCUUUAUCAGCAUUGUAGUGUUGUCCCAGAAGCCUCUCAUGCAACAAACACACAAAGGGUGCUGUCAGCCUGAGGGAAGGGUGUCUGCAGGAGCAGGAAGGAUAAGCAGACUGGGAUAAACUGGGUUAACAGCUGGAGCAAGGCAAAAAGGCAGUGCUGGGGUGCAGCAGAGCCUCCUCUCUGUGGGCCGGCUACGACCUCGCAGCAGUGGGAAUGGGAACCCCCACCCUGGUGGUUUUUUGGCAUCUUUGACCUGGCAAGCUGGAAGCUGAGGACAAGCUGAAGGCUGGUUCUGUCCCUCUCUUCCCAGCAGAACCUCUGGCAUCAGACUGGGAGCUGCCUGAGAUGUCACCACCACCAAGGUACCGCAGGGCUGGCCACAGGGACAUCCUGUCAUUUCUACACUCCUGUCAUUUUUAUAACCUCCAAGACAAAUUAUAUCCCAGUGUGAUGCUGCUGGAUCUGGUGUCCUUGUGCACCAGGAAUCUAGGUCCUGUGCCCAAAGAGAGGGGCUUUUAGUUAAGGUUUUUGACUCUUUUGACUCUUAUUUCCCCACAUGAAGGCAAAAUAAGAGAAUAUUUUAUUGGGGAAGAUAUGGCCAAGGGGAAUACUGAGUGGGAGGGUGUGAGUUUGAGCCCUCAGCAGAUGAGGCACUUCAUCACCUCACUAGGAACACACACAUUUACUAAGCCAUCCUUCCUCACCCAUGAGCAAUGCCUGGUUUCUUCUGGAUAUUCCCUCCUGACAGGAUCUUCUGCUACCACAGAACACGUCCAUGGCCACACCAGGCUGGGCCAAAAGUCCAUAUGGAUGAGUCCUCUGUAUCCCACAGUGGCCACAAGUGAAAGCUCAAGGAAGAGGAGCUCAGCCAGUGGCCAGCCCAAUUUAUCAAUGUGCGCUUUACUCAUCUCAAAAUAAAAAUAAGCAUUAUUGUAAGAAGUUGCUUCGAAUGAAACACUGAAUUCUUGCAUUGGACAAUUGUCUCAGGCACGUGUUGGGAUUCUUGGGGCUGUCCUGUGCAGGGCAAGGACUUAGACUCAAAAAUGAUCCUUUUGUGUCUCUCCCAGCUCAGGAUAUUCUUUGAUUCCAUUAUUCUGCAUUUAUGGGCUAAAUGUUAUAAAGUGUCUGAAUUUCUGUCAGUAGGGAGAGUCAUUGCAAACAACUGACUGCAAAUCAGUGAGUGAAUGAGAGUGGAUCUCCACAAAAGUGCACUCAAUUCAUUUGCUAAUUACAGCUCGUUUUUAACUAUGAAAAUACAUUUUAGCACAUGUGUAAUGUAUACAUUGCCGAAAAGAAAAGUCAGAGCAUAGAAGUAGAAGCAGUAGAAGACCUAACCUCGGUGAAAUCUUUGCUGAGGGAAAGAGUCCUUCCAUUUUUUACUGCACUUCAGCAUAAUGGUUUCUCUGGAGUCUUAUUCUGCAAUCCUCGCUCCUACCUAUGUAUUCUUUAGAGACAAUGUGUGUGAGCUGUUCAGAAGUUUAAAGAGCGCUGCACUGGUUGUUUUUACCUCCUGUUACUUCAUUAAACCCGCGGUUCAAGCUCAGGGGAGGCCUCCUGUUUGGGGAGUUGGUCCUCUCUGCUAUUUUGGCCGCAUAUCUUGUUGUUUUCCCAGAAUGUGUUCAGCUGAAGUAGCGCCGAGGGAAGGGAGGAGUGAGCCCCGGUCCCGAACGAGACUGGUUUUCUCAGGCCACCAGCGGCCCGAGCGCUGUCACACCGGGCUGCAAUGUCACCGAGGAAGGGUUAUUCAUUCAGUUUGUGCUGCAACAGGCGCUCGGUGCUGCAGACCUCCGAACCAAACCAAACCAAACCAAACCGGACCGAACCGAACCGAACCGAACCAAACCAAACCAAACCAAACCAAACCAAGGAGAUGCUCCUAAGAAAUUCCGAGUGGGAAACAGGAGAUGGCUCCAGGAGCGGCGCUGGAGGCGAGCGCUCACCACGGCCGGGGCUGCCCUCACGGCAUGGGGAACCUAAGGACGGGAAUUUCCCGGAG
Molecule: long non-coding RNA, 2147 nt
Organism: Passer domesticus (house sparrow)
Lineage: Eukaryota; Metazoa; Chordata; Aves; Passeriformes; Passeridae
Exons: 3
Source: RefSeq, a predicted model, not a curated record